RNAcentral lists this transfer RNA (76 nucleotides) under Bacilli bacterium. RNAcentral describes it as "tRNA-Lys". It matches the Rfam family "tRNA". Rfam says of the family: Transfer RNA (tRNA) molecules are approximately 80 nucleotides in length. Their secondary structure includes four short double-helical elements and three loops (D, anti-codon, and T loops). Lineage: Bacteria; Bacillati; Bacillota; Bacilli. The record is from RNAcentral.
GUCUUGCUAGCUCAGUUGGUAGAGCAACUGACUCUUACUCAGUGGGUCCAGGGUUCGAGUCCCUGGCGGGACACCA